AGGAAUCGUGCAGUCUAUCACAUGCAAGUCGAGGGGCAGCAUUUCCAGCUUGCUGGAAGAUGGCGACCGGCGCACGGGUGAGUAACGCGUAUAGAAUCUGCCCUUUACUGGGGAAUAGCCCGAAGAAAUUUGGAUCAAUGCCCCAUGGUCCCUUCUUGUGGAUUCACGAUUAGGGUAAAGGUUACGGUAAAGGAUGACUAUGCGUCCCAUUAGUUAGUUGGUAGGGUAACGGCCUACCAAGACCGCGAUGGGUAGGGGCCCUGAGAGGGGGAUCCCCCACACUGGUACUGAGACACGGACCAGACUCCUACGGGAGGCAGCAGUGAGGAAUAUUGGACAAUGGGCGAGAGCCUGAUCCAGCCAUGCCGCGUGCAGGAAGACGGUCCUAUGGAUUGUAAACUGCUUUUAUACGGGAAGAACCUAGGGCACGUGUGCUCUACUGACGGUACCGUAAGAAUAAGGAUCGGCUAACUCCGUGCCAGCAGCCGCGGUAAUACGGAGGAUCCGAGCGUUAUCCGGAAUCAUUGGGUUUAAAGGGUCCGUAGGCGGGCCAUUAAGUCAGGGGUGAAAGUCUGCGGCUCAACCGUAGAAUUGCCCUUGAUACUGGUGGUCUUGAGUUAUGGUGAAGUAACUAGAAUAUGUGGUGUAGCGGUGAAAUGCAUAGAUAUCACAUAGAAUACCGAUUGCGAAGGCAGGUUACUAACCAUAUACUGACGCUGAUGGACGAAAGCGUGGGGAGCGAACGGGAUUAGAUACCCCGGUAGUCCACGCCGUAAACGAUGGAUACUAGCUGUCCGGCAGCAAUGCUGGGUGGCUAAGCGAAAGUGAUAAGUAUCCCACCUGGGGAGUACGUCCGCAAGGAUGAAACUCAAAGGAAUUGACGGGGGCCCGCACAAGCGGUGGAGCAUGUGGUUUAAUUCGAUGAUACGCGAGGAACCCUUACCAGGCUUAAAUGUAGUCUGACAGCUUUAGAGAUAGAGUUUUCUUCGGACAGAUUACAAGGUGCUGCAUGGUUGUCGUCAGCUCGUGCCGUGAGGUGUCAAGGUAAGUCCUAUAACGAGCGCAACCCCUGCCGUUAGUUGCCAGCAUGUCAUGAUGGGGACUCUACCGGGACUGGCGGUGCAAACCGCCGAGUAGGUGGGGACGACGUCAAAUCAU
Molecule: ribosomal RNA, 1158 nt
Filed under: Arenibacter sp. 4W
Lineage: Bacteria; Pseudomonadati; Bacteroidota; Flavobacteriia; Flavobacteriales; Flavobacteriaceae
Description: bacterial SSU rRNA
Rfam family: Bacterial small subunit ribosomal RNA
Source: RNAcentral